GUGCCUAGCGAGGACAACUUUUAUGCGGCAUUGAACUCGGCGGUGUUUAGCGAUGGAUCAUUUUGUUAUAUACCUAAGGACACAAAGUGCCCGAUGCAGAUUUCGACUUAUUUCCGAAUCAAUGCUUUGGAAACUGGACAGUUCGAGAGAACUUUGAUUGUUGCUGAUGACAGGAGUUUUGUAGAGUAUUUGGAGGGAUGUACAGCGCCUUCCUAUGAUAGAAAUCAGCUUCAUGCUGCGGUGGUUGAAUUGUAUUGUGCUGAAGGUGCAGAGAUUAAGUACUCCACAGUUCAGAACUGGUAUGCUGGUGAUGAG
Molecule: unclassified non-coding RNA, 315 nt
Filed under: Hevea brasiliensis (rubber tree)
Lineage: Eukaryota; Viridiplantae; Streptophyta; Magnoliopsida; Malpighiales; Euphorbiaceae
Source: RNAcentral